UUUGUGCUUUGUAAUCCAAGUCUUCUGAAUUCAUACAACUGCCAGUAACAAAUCCAAAUUCAACCCUUUAUUCAGCGAUCAUCUUUCAUCCUCAGCAACGACCGUAUAAACAUCAAAGCCCGCACUGAUUCGUUCGUCCAAAUUCAAAAUGUACCACUUCAAUUAACUACGACGGUAAAAUCGAACGCUCAUUGGUCCUCGCCUGCUUCGUCACAGAUUGCGACAGCAGUGUUCCUGUCUAGGUGUGUUUGAAUGAUGCGCGCUUUCACAAAGUGAAUCAGGAGGAUGGUCUGAGUAAUAUUUUUAGCGAUUAAAAACUUAAAUUGUGCUCUGUACCUCACACCAAACUAUUGUAUUUCACCUGCGGUGGCAACGCAGCAUCAUUUGGACUACUUUUGACCUGGCCAUGUACCCUGCCCUCUUCAUACAGGUUGUCAUGAUGUCAUUACAGAAGGCAGCCGAAGAACAACUUGGGACACCUCCUGAAAAGACAGUGACUCACACGCACACACACACACACACACACACACACACACACACACACACACACACACUAAAUAUAUAAUUAAUAUAAAUCAAUAUGUUCUUGUUACUGUUUUCCAUUAUUUGGACACAUUUUGAUGCUUUACUGUGGAAAUUAUCAUAUCAAUAAAGCCAAUUUGAAAAUAAUUGAAUUGACUGAUAGUUUCCUGUAAUGUGUUACU
Molecule: long non-coding RNA, 704 nt
Organism: Labeo rohita (rohu)
Lineage: Eukaryota; Metazoa; Chordata; Actinopteri; Cypriniformes; Cyprinidae
Exons: 3
Source: RefSeq, a predicted model, not a curated record